RNAcentral lists this ribosomal RNA (497 nucleotides) under uncultured bacterium. RNAcentral's name for it is "partial 16S ribosomal RNA". It matches the Rfam family "Bacterial small subunit ribosomal RNA", at positions 28 to 507 of the family's 1533-position model. The record is from RNAcentral.
GACGAACGCUGGCGGCGUGCCUAAUACAUGCAAGUUGAGCGAUGAAGCUUGGUGCUUGCACCAAUUUGAAGAGCAGCGAACGGGUGAGUAACGCGUGGGGAAUCUGCCUUUGAGCGGGGGACAACAUUUGGAAACGAAUGCUAAUACCGCAUAAUAACUUUAAACAUAAGUUUUAAGUUUGAAAGAUGCAAUUGCAUCACUCAAAGAUGAUCCCGCGUUGUAUUAGCUAGUUGGUGAGGUAAAGGCUCACCAAGGCGAUGAUGCAUAGCCGACCUGAGAGGGUGAUCGGCCACAUUGGGACUGAGACACGGCCCAAACUCCUACGGGAGGCAGCAGUAGGGAAUCUUCGGCAAUGGACGAAAGUCUGACCGAGCAACGCCGCGUGAGUGAAGAAGGUUUUCGGAUCGUAAAACUCUGUUGGUAGAGAAGAACGUUGGUGAGAGUGGAAAGCUCAUCAAGUGACGGUAACUACACAGAAAGGGACGGCUAACUACGUG